Manis javanica (Malayan pangolin) is the source of this 2282-nucleotide long non-coding RNA. RefSeq lists it as uncharacterized. Lineage: Eukaryota; Metazoa; Chordata; Mammalia; Pholidota; Manidae. The record is from RefSeq and is a predicted model, not a curated record.
CAUACACACACACACACACACGCAUGUCACCCUCUCUCUCUUAUACUAAAAAUUUAUAACUAUCGAGCAUCACCUAUAGAGUCAGAAGGCGUGAUUUGACUCCUGCUUCCACCAUCGACUGGCUGUGUGACCUUGGGCAAAUUUCUCCAACUCUCUGUAGGAUGGAUGUACUGACUGGGUAGCACUCCCUCGCAUAGGGCUGCAGUGAGGAGCAAAUGAGAUCGGGUGUAGGAGGUGCAGGCCACAGGGCCCAGCACGUAACUAAUGCUCAGUGAAAAGGAUGAAUGAAAAUGAAACCAGUGCUGGAGCCCAGACUGGGCUUGCAUAUGAGAUUCAAGACAGUUUGCACAACAGAGACGUCCUUGAACCUGGAGCAACCAAGCCGUGGCUAAUGCUGCAUCUCAGAGUGACUUUGGAGGCCAUGUCUGAAACUGGCAGCAUCACAAGAUGGAAGAAUCCUUGGUUACUGAGUCAUAGAGGCAGACAGGAAAGCUGUCCAACUAUGAACACCUGCAUUGGAUUUAGGAUGCCUGUGCCCACUGGACCCUGACUCUCCAGAGACCAAGAUGGCAGAGCAAUUCCAGGAUUCAUGUCAAGACAGAAAAGAGCAAUUCCUAGAGGAAAACAGGAGGGCUUCUUGUCUCAGGUUUCCUAAGGAACUUCCCAGUGGACUUCUCAAAUCUUACUGCCUAGAUUUGUGUCCUAGGCACAUUCUUAACAGAGAUGGAAUGACCAUUAUCGGCUUAGACUAAUCAGGACCCACCUUCUGGAUCCAGGAACAAUUUCAAGUGACAUUCACAGUUGAGAGGAGCUCCUGACUCAACUCAUUUAUCUGCUUGCCUAGAUGGCAUCUGCCCAAGUAAUAUCAUAUGCUGUGUAACCAGAAAGGAAAAGCAACUUCUCUUUGGGAAUUUCAGUUUCAAAAUAUCUCAGGGAAGAUUCUUACUGGUUCUGUUGGGUCACCUGACCACCACUUAGACCUAUCACUGUGAACAGCAAAAUAGAAUGUACUGAUUGGUCCUUUCCACUCUGUGACCAAGAAGACUGAAACUCACCAAAUGAAUUGGAUGUAACCACUGGAAGAAUUUCUGCUGGGCAGAUGUCACAAAGUACAGAUGCUGAUAUAAAACACAGAAGUUGAGGUAAAUAUUGAUAAAGCAUAGACUUUAACUGAUCAAGCUCAUUGGGCAUAUGUGACAAUAUAUAGCAAGCAUUGGGACAAUUUUCUUCACUAAUUCAUUCAUUCAGCUUAUGAAGUUUAUUAAGAACCUAAUAUACAUAGACAUGGUAUGAGAUGUGUUAUAGUACUAUUACAUGCAGGAAACAUGGUAGACAUUCAGAAACUACAACUGAAUCAUUGCCAUAUUCUUGUGACUCAGAGAUACUUUUCCUCUGGGCAGGAAACUGUCCUGCUGGACUUGACCUGAGCACCAAUGACUCAGUCUAAUCAGUGCCAUCCCCUAAAGCCUUGUGGGGUUUCUCCUGCUGGUGGUUCUUAGAUUCCACUAUUGGGAACAGCAACAAAACUAAGAUUUUUGUCAGUGUAGGGGUUAAAGUAAAAUCAUGUGGCAUUUCCUGGCUCUUUAUCAAUGAAGGUGGCUGAUGAGAAUCAUAUUUCAAGACUAUUUCCUCCAAAAGGGUGAUGAACAAGCUGCACUUAAAAUUGUUUGACACCUAUACUCUGGUUUCUCUUCAUAUUGUAUGAAUCUUUCGCCUUUUACUAAAGACUUCCAUGGGGAGAAACAAUUCUGAGUUCUCAGCUAAUUUUUUUAAGCCUUGUAUUUGGCAAGGCUGAUUUAAAAAAAAAUUGUUUGACACAGUAUCUCCUGUAUCCAAAUUUAUCAGCCAUCCCUGCUCCCACCCCCAAAGCAGGUGAUCUGGGAAGUGAUAGGUUAGGGAAUUGGGUAUCAAGUUGAUUGCAAAUUGAUCCUCACCCCAACAAAAGCAUUUCAGGUGCAGGCAUUUAAAUGAUUAGAUAAAACACCCCUGUUCUCCUUUCCAAUGACACCUUAAGGGUGUGGUUCUCAAAGUGAGUUUCUCCAGAUGAACAGUAUCAACAUCAUCUGUAAACUUGUUAGAAAAGCAAAUUCUUGGGCCCCACCCCAGACUUCCUGAGUCAGAAGUUCUGGAGUUGAGGUUCAGCAGACUGUGUUUUAACAAGUUUCUACCCCCUACCCUACCAAGGUGACAGGAGGUCAGCUAAAAUUUUACAACUGACUUUAGUUGUUCUGUUCCACAGAAGUGAUUUUUCUGAUGAUGAUUAAAAUGGAAACUUAACCUUU